AACGCACGAGACCUGCGGACCUGCGGAGGGAUCAUUACCGAGUUAGGGUAGUCACUCACUGCCCGACCUCCCAACCCUGUGUCUACCACACUUUGUCGUUGCUUCGGCGGACUGGUUGACCAACUGGUCGUGACCGCCGGGGGCUGGCUCUGUCCCCCCUGGAGAGCGUCCGUCGAUGGCCCAACCACAAAACUCUUGUACCGAAACGUGUCGUCUGAAUUAUAUUUGAGAAAUCAAAAA
This 240-nucleotide unclassified non-coding RNA is filed under the name soil metagenome. Its description in RNAcentral is "partial contains 5.8S ribosomal RNA, internal transcribed spacer 2, and large subunit ribosomal RNA". The record is from RNAcentral.